GCUACUGGGUGUAAAAGAUAAAUCUUAUUCUAUCUGUUCUUAAUGAGUUUUAGAUAAUUUUAGUUGUAUUUCUUUGUAAUUUUGUGUUGUACAAAGAUUAAUUUAACAUUUUCUCUGGAAGUAACAAUUUAGAAAGAUAAUAUGCUUCAUUGGUGUUGUGUUUUGAAGUGUGAAAUGCAAAGUAAUUGUGAUAAAGUCAAGAUAAAGUUCACUUUUAAACUGAACUAAAUAAGGUAUCUGAGAGACAACAAUGGUUAAAUGCAAUACAAUGUACAGGUUUUACUAGCGAAAUGAAAAUUUUCCUGUCCUGUCUGCUGUAAUCAUUUUAUAUCUGGAAAACCAGCCGACUUAAUCGAUAAUAACAAUCUCCAGAUUGGGUUCCUUCAAUAAAUAUGGGCUAUAAACACAAUGAAAUAAGUUCCCCAAAAUCUAAAAUGGAGUGGUAUCAAAGGAGAAUUAAAGGAAAAAAUAUUCAUAUUGAAAUUAUUUAUAAGGCACUGGACUGUCUUAAAUUCUACAACAAUACUAGAAUCAGCUGAGAGAAGUGGUCUACAAAAAACCAGGAAGGAAACGGAAUAUGUGGCUACGAAAGGCAAAAGAAAGGUUUACAAAGCAAAUGUGACACAUUUUUUUGAAAUAUUUAGGAAUAUCAGUAAAUUGCAUUAAAAAAUGUAUGAAAAGAUUUUGUUCAAUAAAAAUGUUUAUAUUUA
RNAcentral lists this long non-coding RNA (710 nucleotides) under Diabrotica virgifera virgifera (western corn rootworm). RNAcentral's name for it is "uncharacterized LOC126881898". The record is from RNAcentral. Lineage: Eukaryota; Metazoa; Arthropoda; Insecta; Coleoptera; Chrysomelidae.